RNAcentral lists this ribosomal RNA (406 nucleotides) under uncultured bacterium. RNAcentral's name for it is "partial 16S ribosomal RNA". It matches the Rfam family "Bacterial small subunit ribosomal RNA", at positions 28 to 526 of the family's 1533-position model. The record is from RNAcentral.
GACGAACGCUGGCGGCGUGCUUAACACAUGCAAGUCGAACGAAGUGGCGAACGGGUGAGUAAUACGUGGGUAACCUGCCCUCCUUUUUGGGAUAAGCCUUGGAAACGGGGUCUAAUACCGAAUAAAGGGGGAUGGGCUCGCGGCCUAUCAGCUUGUGGGUGGGGUGAUGGCCUACCAAGGCGGUGACGGGUAGCCGGCCUGAGAGGGUGACCGGCCAGAUUGGGACUGGGACACGCCGUAGACUCUGAUGGGAGGCAGAAGUGGGUCUGAUUGAGCAACGGGCGCAAGCCUGUGCCAGCAAUGGGGCGUGAAGGAAGAGGGUAUUCGGAUUGUAAACCUUUUUGGGAAGGGACGGUACCUGUAUAAUAAGCCACGGCUAACUACGUGCCAGCAGCCGCGGUAAUUC